GUUGACAGUAAUGAUAGUAAUGAUAGUAAGCCUACCUUUUUGUGGGCCCUAAACACUGAUGAGACCAAUCAGUUUUGGAUCCAUUAUUUAUAUCAAUUAACUGUUGUCAUUAAUUUAAUAGGCAUAUUUUUUGUUAUUAUUGGAGUCGUUUCAAUAAUUUAUGGUCUAAAUUAUCUGUGGAUAUUUGCCUGUAUUAGUUCAAUGCAUUGUUGUGCAGUCUAUUUAUAUUAUUUAGGUAUUAUAAAAGGCCAUCAAUUAUAUUUCAAUAUAUUUAUUGGUGUCAAUACUCUAUGGUUAGGAUUAGCCAUCACUUAUUUUAUGUGCUUUAUAUUUGUCGUUAAUAAUAACAACCGAUUCCGUUAUGAUCUGUUAUUUCACGCCGUCUUUAUUGUCUACUAUUUCCUAACUCUAACCGUUGAUGUCAUGGCAUUAGUAAUAACAACUAAAGUCUUGAAAUUUUUGAACAGAAAUCAAUCGACCGGACAAUCAUCCGGACAAUCAUCCGGACAGUCAUCCGGACAAUCGACAGAACC
Molecule: long non-coding RNA, 533 nt
Organism: Oppia nitens
Lineage: Eukaryota; Metazoa; Arthropoda; Arachnida; Sarcoptiformes; Oppiidae
Exons: 3
Source: RefSeq, a predicted model, not a curated record